GGAGUUCACAUUAGAGUUCACUACUGGAUUGCAGAUGACUUUUGUGACCUUGGGAAACUAUUAAACCAACCAGUUUCUUCCCCAAGGCAGACAUUAAGUGUUUACUAUAUCCCCUUCUAUGGAGUAACAAGAAGACUUAAAAAUAUAAAUAAAAGUGAAGUCCUAUUCCCAUGUUCCUUUACCUUGAACAACAUUUCAUACAAUGCACAGGUACAAAGGUAUUUGAAAAAACUCUCUCCUCAGCACUACAG
RNAcentral lists this long non-coding RNA (251 nucleotides) under Homo sapiens (human). RNAcentral's name for it is "HSALNT0284446". Lineage: Eukaryota; Metazoa; Chordata; Mammalia; Primates; Hominidae. The record is from RNAcentral.